GGCUCAGGAUGAACGCUAGCGGCAGGCUAACACAUGCAAGUCGAGGGGCAUCGGGAGUAGCAACACUUGCCGGCGACCGGCGCAAGGGUGCGUAACGCGUGAGCAACAUGCCCGUAUCAGGGGGAUAAUCCAUGGAAACGUGGUCUAAUACCCCAUAGUAAUUAUGUAAGGCAUCUUAUAUAAUUUAAAGCUUUGGUGGAUACGGAUUGGCUCGCGUGACAUUAGCUGGAUGGUAAGGUAACGGCUUACCAUGGCUACGAUGUCUAGGGGUUCUGAGAGGAAGGUCCCCCACACUGGAACUGAGACACGGUCCAGACUCCUACGGGAGGCAGCAGUGAGGAAUAUUGGACAAUGGAUGGAAAUCUGAUCCAGCCAUGCCGCGUGCAGGAAGAACCGGCCCUAUGGGUUGUAAACUGCUUUUGUAUGGGAGCAAUAAGGGCUACGUGUAGUCCGAUGAGAGUACCAUACGAAUAAGCACCGGCUAACUCCGUGCCAGCAGCAGC
This 503-nucleotide ribosomal RNA is filed under the name uncultured bacterium. RNAcentral's name for it is "bacterial SSU rRNA". It matches the Rfam family "Bacterial small subunit ribosomal RNA", at positions 21 to 518 of the family's 1533-position model. The record is from RNAcentral.